RNAcentral lists this ribosomal RNA (468 nucleotides) under uncultured bacterium. RNAcentral's name for it is "partial 16S ribosomal RNA". It matches the Rfam family "Bacterial small subunit ribosomal RNA", at positions 28 to 507 of the family's 1533-position model. The record is from RNAcentral.
GACGAACGCUGGCGGCGUGCUUAACACAUGCAAGUCGAACGGCAAGGCCCUGCUUUUGUGGGGUGCUCGAGUGGCGAACGGGUGAGUAACACGUGAGUAACCUGCCCUUGACUUUGGGAUGACUUCAGGAAACUGGGGCUAAGACCGGAUAGGAUCUCCUGUUGCAUGGUGGGGGUUGGAAAGUUUCGGCGGGUGGGGAUGGACGCGCGGCUUAUGAGCUUGUUGGUGGGGUAGUGGCUUGCCAAGGCUUUGACGGGUAGCCGGCCUGAGAGGGUGGCCGGCCACAUUGGGACUGAGGUACGGCCCAGACGCCUACGGGAGGCAGCAGGGGGGAAUAUUGCACAAUGGGCGGAAGCCUGAUGCAGCAACGCCGCGUGCGGGAUGACGGCCUUCGGGUUGUAAACCGCUUUCGCCUGUGACGAAGCGUGAGUGACGGUAAUGGGUAAAGAAGCACCGGCUAACUACGUG